AACGAACGCUGGCGGCGUGGCUAAGACAUGCAAGUCGAACGAAUAGUUAUUGAGUAAUCGAGAGACUAAUUAGUGGCGCAAGGGCUGAGGAAUAGAUAGGUACGUACCCUGUACUUCGGGAUAGCGUCGUUGAUCGCAAGGUCAUCUACCGAAAGGGGCAUAAUACCGUAUAAUAUCACCAGUCGAUGGACUGGUAAUCAAAGAUUUAUCGGUGCAGGAGGGCCUAUCUCCUAUCAGCUAGUUGGUGAGGUAAUGGCCCACCAAGGCAACGACGGGUAAGGGACUGAGAGGUUGUUCCCUCACAUCGGGACUGAGACACUGCCGGACCUCCACGGAGGCUGCAGUAACGAAUAUUGCGCAAUGGGCGAAAGCCUGACGCAGCGACGCCGCGUGUAGAUGAAGUCCCUCGGGAUGUGAACUACUGUCAGGGAAAAGAAAGUCCGUUUAGGCGGAUUAUCUAUCCCAAAGGAAGCCACGGCUAACUUCGUGCCAGCAGCCGCGGUAAGACGAAGGUGCGAGCGUUGUUCGGUGUCACUGGGCAUAAAGGGUGUGUAGGCGGGANCGUAAGCGCUUGUGAAANCCCCCGGCUUAACCGGGGAA
RNAcentral lists this ribosomal RNA (600 nucleotides) under uncultured Lake Michigan sediment bacterium LMBA7. Its description in RNAcentral is "bacterial SSU rRNA". It matches the Rfam family "Bacterial small subunit ribosomal RNA", at positions 28 to 620 of the family's 1533-position model. The record is from RNAcentral. Lineage: Bacteria; Pseudomonadati; Pseudomonadota; Betaproteobacteria.